UACAGAGGGUGCGAGCGUUGUCCGGAAUCACUGGGCGUAAAGGGCGCGUAGGCGGCUCGGUAAGCGUGCGGUGAAAGCCCGGGGCUCAACCCCGGGUCGGCCGUGCGAACUGCGGAGCUGGAGCACUGUAGAGGCAGGUGGAAUUCCGGGUGUAGCGGUGGAAUGCGUAGAGAUCCGGAAGAACACCGGUGGCGAAGGCGCCACUCUGGGCCGAAACUGACGCUGAGGAGCGAAAGCGUGGGUAGCAAACAGG
Molecule: ribosomal RNA, 253 nt
Filed under: uncultured bacterium
Lineage: Bacteria
Description: partial 16S ribosomal RNA
Rfam family: Bacterial small subunit ribosomal RNA
Source: RNAcentral